Long non-coding RNA from Musa acuminata AAA Group (dessert banana), 833 nucleotides. RefSeq lists it as uncharacterized. The record is from RefSeq and is a predicted model, not a curated record. NCBI's taxonomy places the organism in Eukaryota, Viridiplantae, Streptophyta, Magnoliopsida, Zingiberales, Musaceae. The transcript has 2 exons.
GAGGUGGGGGAUCCUUUUUGUGGACACCAAGUAGUUUUAAGUAUCCAUCACUCCUUCCACUCUCUCACCCUCAUCUCCUUCCUUGAAGAGCUCCCACCUCAACUCCUCCCUCCUCCCUUCCUCCCUCUUCCGAGAUGCUACCGAGAACAUGGAGCAUCUUCCAUGUGGGGGAGGAAGGUGGUGAGGCACCAAAGACUGUUGCAGCUGCCAUCGAAAGCUCGAAAGGCGCCUGCGAUCGGCUCGAAGGCCUUCGAAUCCUCAUACAGAACUCGGGACGACGAUCCAAUGUCGUGAUCAAUUCUUCACUUCGAUCUUGCAUGCCUCACCAUUUAACCAAGGCUUCUGCGCCUCGGUUUGGUUUCCUGAAAGCUUGCUUCUUGUGCAGAAACGAGCUGCGCCCUCACAAGGAUGUUUACAUGUAUAGGGGUGACCAGGGAUUCUGCAGUGAGGAAUGUCGUCGCGAUCAAAUCUUGUUGGAUGAAAGAACAGAAGCUGAAGCGUCAGCAAGAGGGAGAAUGAAGCCACCUCUUCGUCCUCCCGCCGCCGCCAAUAAGGUUCAGGAAUCCGACCGCCGGAGGAGGAUCGUAGCAGUAGCAUAGAGAUCUACGAGGAAGAAAAGCCCCUUCUUUCUGAAUGAUGAGAAGGCUGCAUAUUUACCAACUGCACAGAAUUGUAUGCCAAGUUCGAGACAAAUCCAUCGGACUGACAGCCAAUUCAAGUUUCCUCCUAUUUCCAGGGAAUGUUGCAACCUAUAAGAGUAAAGAAAGAGUCUAUCGGAAACAAAUGAUACGCUUUUCUACUCUAAUGAACACCUUGUGCUUCAUUUUUACUCA